GGGGGCGUACAGGUUUCGACGGGGGUAUGGAGCAUUGAAUAGCGAGCUGUGGUUUGUCGGGUGCCACAUUAAAAAACUUGGCAAAAAAUAUAAACGCAGAUAAUAAUUACGCUUUAGCCGCUUAAUGCGGCUCAUCCUGCUGUAGCCUACCCGCCGCCGCAGCAAUAGGAUGUCGAUAUGCGGGGAUCCAGUCUGAGGGUUGUCCCGACCUCUUGCUGAAACAAUUGGGACUGGCAGAUGAAGCAGCUUGUCAUUGAGCGGCUUCGGAAGCGAGAAACAAAUCAAUGACUGCGCUCGGAGAAGUUUAAUGUAAAGUGCUUUCGGACGCGGGUUCGAUUCCCGCCGCCUCCACCA
Molecule: transfer-messenger RNA, 354 nt
Filed under: Clostridiales bacterium
Lineage: Bacteria; Bacillati; Bacillota; Clostridia; Eubacteriales
Also listed under: 1 other name
Rfam family: transfer-messenger RNA
About the family: Bacterial tmRNA, also known as 10Sa RNA or SsrA, is named for its dual tRNA and mRNA-like properties. Its role is to liberate the mRNA from a stalled ribosome.
Source: RNAcentral